RNAcentral lists this ribosomal RNA (465 nucleotides) under uncultured bacterium. RNAcentral's name for it is "partial 16S ribosomal RNA". It matches the Rfam family "Bacterial small subunit ribosomal RNA", at positions 28 to 507 of the family's 1533-position model. The record is from RNAcentral.
GAUGAACGCUGGCGGCGUGCUUAACACAUGCAAGUCGAACGGAAAGGCUCCUGCUUGCAGGGGUACUCGAGUGGCGAACGGGUGAGUAACACGUGGGUGAUCUGCCCUGCACUUCGGGAUAAGCAUGGGAAACUGGGUCUAAUACCGGAUAGGACGAUGGUUUGGAUGCCAUUGUGGAAAGUUUUUCGGUGUGGGAUGAGCUCGCGGCCUAUCAGCUUGUUGGUGGGGUAAUGGCCUACCAAGGCGUCGACGGGUAGCCGGCCUGAGAGGGUGUACGGCCACAUUGGGACUGAGAUACGGCCCAGACUCCUACGGGAGGCAGCAGUGGGGAAUAUUGCACAAUGGGCGCAAGCCUGAUGCAGCGACGCCGCGUGGGGGAUGACGGCCUUCGGGUUGUAAACUCCUUUCGCUAGGGACGAAGCGCAAGUGACGGUACCUGGAGAAGAAGCACCGGCUAACUACGUG